GUGAAUCAUCGAAUCUUUGAACGCACAUUGCACUCCUUUGGAGUAUGCCUGUUUGAGAAUCUAUAGUAUUUAUUUUUGGUUAUUUCGCAAAAGAUAAUCAAGAGAUUUGAGGUGUCUCUUUCGAGAGUACCUUUAAUGUUAUAGCCUCUUUUGUGGUAAAACAACUCUGCAGAACAGUAUUUGAAUGGAACUUUUGUUUCUUUAAUUGCCUAAUACGCAGACUUACCUAUUGAGAAGGGGGUCCAUAAACUUAAAGUAGUACCUGCGGUGCUGCUUGAACCAUGGUCUCAAAUCAGGUAGGAAGACCCGCUGAACUUAAGCAUAUCAAUAAGCGGAGG
This 338-nucleotide ribosomal RNA is filed under the name uncultured fungus. RNAcentral's name for it is "eukaryotic LSU rRNA". The stretch from base 283 to 338 matches the Rfam family "Eukaryotic large subunit ribosomal RNA", at positions 1 to 56 of the family's 3401-position model. Lineage: Eukaryota; Fungi. The record is from RNAcentral.